AGAUAAUAGAUACCCGGGUAGUCCUGGCCCUCAACGUUGCUCGCUCGUUUUACGGAGUAUCGACCCUCUGUGAGACUAAAGCUAAACGCGGUAAGCGAGCCGCCUGGGUAGUACGAUCGCAAGAUUAAAACUCAAAGGAAUAGACGGGGACUCGCACAAGCAGUGGAUUAUGCGGCUUAAUUCGUCGGUAAACGAAGAACCUUACCAAGGUUAGAAACCCAACUGCAUCCGACCUGAAAGGGACGGAGCCUUCGAGGGUGUUGGGCAGGUGAUGCAUGGUCGUCGUCAGUUCGUGGUUUGAAACUGUUCCCUUCAGUGGGGUAACGAACGCAACCCCCG
RNAcentral lists this ribosomal RNA (339 nucleotides) under uncultured bacterium. RNAcentral describes it as "bacterial SSU rRNA". It matches the Rfam family "Bacterial small subunit ribosomal RNA", at positions 775 to 1107 of the family's 1533-position model. The record is from RNAcentral.